UACUCCCCUGUGUGCCUUUAAGGCGUGCGUAGCGAAGCUAACGCGCUAAGCAUUCCGCCUGGGGAGUACGGUCGCAAGAUUAAAACUCAAAUGAAUUGACGGGGGCCCGCACAAGCGGUGGAGCAUGUGGUUUAAUUCGAAGCAACGCGAAGAACCUUACCAACCCUUGACAUCCUCGGACCGCCAGAGAGAUCUGGUUUUCUCACAAGAGACCGAGUGACAGGUGCUGCAUGGCU
RNAcentral lists this ribosomal RNA (236 nucleotides) under uncultured Alphaproteobacteria bacterium. RNAcentral describes it as "partial 16S ribosomal RNA". It matches the Rfam family "Bacterial small subunit ribosomal RNA", at positions 814 to 1050 of the family's 1533-position model. The record is from RNAcentral. Lineage: Bacteria; Pseudomonadati; Pseudomonadota; Alphaproteobacteria.